This 74-nucleotide transfer RNA is filed under the name Bacillota bacterium. RNAcentral describes it as "Firmicutes bacterium tRNA-Trp". It matches the Rfam family "tRNA". From Rfam's summary of the family: Transfer RNA (tRNA) molecules are approximately 80 nucleotides in length. Their secondary structure includes four short double-helical elements and three loops (D, anti-codon, and T loops). Further hydrogen bonds mediate the characteristic L-shaped molecular structure. tRNAs have two regions of fundamental functional importance: the anti-codon, which is responsible for specific mRNA codon recognition, and the 3' end, to which the tRNAs corresponding amino acid is attached (by aminoacyl-tRNA synthetases). tRNAs cope with the degeneracy of the genetic code in two manners: having more than one tRNA (with a specific anti-codon) for a particular amino acid; and 'wobble' base-pairing, i.e. permitting non-standard base-pairing at the 3rd anti-codon position. The record is from RNAcentral. Lineage: Bacteria; Bacillati; Bacillota.
GCCGUCGUAGCUCAAAUGGCAGAGCGCUGGACUCCAAAUCCAGUGGUUGGGAGUUCGAGUCCGCCCCGGCGGUG